RNAcentral lists this ribosomal RNA (253 nucleotides) under uncultured bacterium. Its description in RNAcentral is "partial 16S ribosomal RNA". It matches the Rfam family "Bacterial small subunit ribosomal RNA", at positions 524 to 776 of the family's 1533-position model. The record is from RNAcentral.
UACGUAGGGGGCAAGCGUUGUCCGGAUUUAUUGGGCGUAAAGAGCGUGUAGGCGGCCGUACAGGUCAGCUGUGAAAACUCGAGGCUCAACCUCGAGACGUCGGUUGAAACCGUACGGCUAGAGUCCGGAAGAGGAGAGUGGAAUUCCCGGUGUAGCGGUGAAAUGCGCAGAUAUCGGGAAGAACACCCGUGGCGAAAGCGGCUCACUGGACCAUUACUGACGCUGAGGCACGAAAGCUAGGGGAGCAAACAGG